Molecule: transfer RNA, 103 nt
Filed under: Schizophyllum commune
Lineage: Eukaryota; Fungi; Basidiomycota; Agaricomycetes; Agaricales; Schizophyllaceae
Also listed under: 1 other name
Description: tRNA-Pro
Rfam family: tRNA
About the family: Transfer RNA (tRNA) molecules are approximately 80 nucleotides in length. Their secondary structure includes four short double-helical elements and three loops (D, anti-codon, and T loops).
Source: RNAcentral
GGCCCAGUGGUCUAGUAGUAUGAUACGUGCUUCGGGCGCUUGUCCGCUCGCUCUGCGAGUCUUAAAUUGCACGGGGUCCCGGGUUCAAUUCCCGGCUGGGCCC